UGCAGUCGACGCGUUGGCCCAAUUGAUUGAUGGUGCUUGCACCUGAUUGAUUUUGGUCGCCAACGAGUGGCGGACGGGUGAGUAACACGUAGGUAACCUGCCCAGAAGCGGGGGACAACAUUUGGAAACAGAUGCUAAUACCGCAUAACAACGUUGUUCGCAUGAACAACGCUUAAAAGAUGGCUUCUCGCUAUCACUUCUGGAUGGACCUGCGGUGCAUUAGCUUGUUGGUGGGGUAACGGCCUACCAAGGCGAUGAUGCAUAGCCGAGUUGAGAGACUGAUCGGCCACAAUGGGACUGAGACACGGCCCAUACUCCUACGGGAGGCAGCAGUAGGGAAUCUUCCACAAUGGGCGCAAGCCUGAUGGAGCAACACCGCGUGAGUGAAGAAGGGUUUCGGCUCGUAAAGCUCUGUUGUUAAAGAAGAACACGUAUGAGAGUAACUGUUCAUACGUUGACGGUAUUUAACCAGAAAGUCACGGCUAACUACGUGCCAGCAGCCGCGGUAAUACGUAGGUGGCAAGCGUUAUCCGGAUUUAUUGGGCGUAAAGAGAGUGCAGGCG
RNAcentral lists this ribosomal RNA (563 nucleotides) under Limosilactobacillus fermentum. RNAcentral's name for it is "bacterial SSU rRNA". It matches the Rfam family "Bacterial small subunit ribosomal RNA", at positions 45 to 577 of the family's 1533-position model. The record is from RNAcentral. Lineage: Bacteria; Bacillati; Bacillota; Bacilli; Lactobacillales; Lactobacillaceae.